GCAAACUUGGUCAUUUAGAGGAAGUAAAAGUCGUAACAAGGUUUCCGUAGGUGAACCUGCGGAAGGAUCAUUACUGAGUGCGGGUUCUGAUCGAGCCCAACCUCCCACCCGUGUUUACCGUGACCGUGUUGCUUUGGCGGGCCCACUAGGGCUCCCCUCUGGUCGCCGGGGGGCUGCUGCCCCCGGGCCCGUGCCCGCCGAAGCGCCUGUGAACCCUGUCUGAAUAGUGAGUCUGAGUGUGGGAUGAAAUCAUUAAAACUUUCAACAACGGAUCUCUUGGUUCCGGCAUCGAUGAAGAACGCAGC
RNAcentral lists this unclassified non-coding RNA (305 nucleotides) under uncultured fungus. RNAcentral's name for it is "partial contains small subunit ribosomal RNA, internal transcribed spacer 1, and 5.8S ribosomal RNA". The stretch from base 1 to 73 matches the Rfam family "Eukaryotic small subunit ribosomal RNA", at positions 1759 to 1831 of the family's 1831-position model. The record is from RNAcentral. Lineage: Eukaryota; Fungi.